Long non-coding RNA from Lagopus leucura (white-tailed ptarmigan), 367 nucleotides. RefSeq lists it as uncharacterized. The record is from RefSeq and is a predicted model, not a curated record. NCBI's taxonomy places the organism in Eukaryota, Metazoa, Chordata, Aves, Galliformes, Phasianidae. The transcript has 3 exons.
ACAGCCAAGAAGGAUGAAGAAAGGUUUCCCGAGGCCUUGGGGUGAGCAGUGAGGAUGGUAUGAUGAAGAAAGAAUGUGCUGGAGAUCCCUGGCUUCAUCUCCUACCUCUCCUACUGGUCACAGAGUGUCCCUGAGGAGAUGCACUGACAGAAGGCUGAGGUUUCAGCAACAUGCUGUCCCUACAGGCUUUGAAAAAAUAAGGGACAAAGUAGAGAAGAAUGACCUUCUUAGCUUCUCCACCAAAGGAGUGCCUACAAGAGCUGGGCUGCUGUUUGGCAGCAGAAAACCCACACGGACGAGACCCUCCUCAGGCCUCAUUGCUUCUGCUCCAUAGGGACUCGCUCAGCUUAUGUGGAGGUGAAUUGGG